This 460-nucleotide ribosomal RNA is filed under the name uncultured bacterium. RNAcentral's name for it is "partial 16S ribosomal RNA". It matches the Rfam family "Bacterial small subunit ribosomal RNA", at positions 338 to 795 of the family's 1533-position model. The record is from RNAcentral.
GCUACGGGAGGCAGCAGUGAGGAAUAUUGGUCAAUGGACGCAAGUCUGAACCAGCCAUGCCGCGUGCAGGAAGACGGCUCUAUGAGUUGUAAACUGCUUUUGUACGAGGGUAAACGCAGAUACGCGUAUCUGUCUGAAAGUAUCGUACGAAUAAGGAUCGGCUAACUCCGUGCCAGCAGCCGCGGUAAUACGGAGGAUUCAAGCGUUAUCCGGAUUUAUUGUGAUUAAAGGGUGCGUCGGAGGUCGGAUAAGUUAGAGGUGAAAUCCUGAGGCUCAACUUCGGAAUUGACUCUGAUACUGUUCGGCUAGAGAUUAGUGGCGGUAGGCGGAAUGUAGGGUGUAGCGGUGAAAUGCAUAGAUAUCACGCAGAACUCCGAUUGCGAAGGCAGCAUACCGGCGCUCAACUGACGCUGAGGCACGAAAGCGUGGGGAUCGAACAGGAUUAGAUACCCGGGUAGUC